Non-coding RNA from Pimephales promelas (fathead minnow), 214 nucleotides. NCBI's taxonomy places the organism in Eukaryota, Metazoa, Chordata, Actinopteri, Cypriniformes, Leuciscidae. The record is from RefSeq and is a predicted model, not a curated record.
UGCGGUAAUGGGGUUGAAGUGACUGCAAAAGAGACUUCUGCUUUGAGGAAUGUAAACAGCAGUUAUUGUUGGUACCACUUUAGUGAAUAUAGCACCUGCCUGCGAAGUGUCUGUUGGUUCCUGCACACACCAAGAGAUGGAGACGAAAAGUUCUGCAUGGAUAUAGUGAAGAAGUUCUGUCAUGUUGGUAAACGUGGUCUUAUUCUACGAGCAG